This 369-nucleotide long non-coding RNA is filed under the name Musa acuminata (dwarf banana). RNAcentral's name for it is "long non-coding RNA (MACU_LNC004665)". Lineage: Eukaryota; Viridiplantae; Streptophyta; Magnoliopsida; Zingiberales; Musaceae. The record is from RNAcentral.
GGCUUAAGCAUUUUGGUCCGCCGUUGAGGACCAAAAUGGAGUUAUUGGCCAGUUAGCUCAUCAGACCCGGGUCGUGACAUUUUUGGAUAAUGUAAUAUCCCAUUAGUCCCACAUCGGAAGUGGGGAAUGUGUGUGAUUAGCUUAUAAGGGCCUGAUGAGUGUACUACGUUACCUCCCGCUUAAGCAUUUUGGUCCGCCUCACAUGCACUAUGCUAGGGUUCGAUCUGGGAUAUGUCAGGCACCUCACAUGCACUAUGCUAUCCCAUUAGUCCCACAUCGGAAGUGGGGAAUGUGUAUGAUUAGCUUAUAAGGGCCUGAUGAGUGUACUAUGUUACCUCCCGCUUAAGCAUUUUGGUCCGCCGUUGAGGA